RNAcentral lists this small nuclear RNA (97 nucleotides) under Propithecus coquereli (Coquerel's sifaka). The record is from RNAcentral. Lineage: Eukaryota; Metazoa; Chordata; Mammalia; Primates; Indriidae.
GCUUCCAUAGCGCAAAGGAAAACUGGAAGGAUGCCAAGAUGAUUAGCAUGGCCCCCACACCAGGAUGACAUGAAUUUGUGAAGCAUUUCAUAUUUUU